GGGUGUCACAAGUCAUGAGCUACUACAGAGUUUACUAAAAUUCUACAAGGUAUGGAAUAAGGAACGACACCUGAAGAUAUCAUAAAUACAGAAGAUAAGGGAGAAAACGGGUCUGCGAACGCCAUGCAGCUACCUCGAUAACUCCAAUGAAAACUGAACAGCAGAAAACUCGCUCUAUGCCUCAGGAAUACCUGUACCUGCACAUAUGGUGCAGGGAGUAAUGUGAGUACUCCGAACCAGUGAGUAAUAAAUAUAAAUAAUAACUGAGUGUAAGAAAACACGUUAAGGCACACAACACUCUAUACAGAAGUAGUGAAAUCAUUUAAAAUAACAAUUCAGUGAAACAUCAUGUGAAAUUUCUUUAAAACAAGUAAAAACAGGUAAUUUAGCAGUAAAAUGACGAGUAGAAAUCUACCUUUCGGGCUCAAUAUCAAAACAAUAUCAGCCCCUCGGGCUCAGUAUCUCAGAAAAGUAUCAGCCCAUCGGGCUCAGUAUCUCAGAAAAGUAUCAGCCCCUCGGGCUCAGUAUCUCAGAACAGUAUCAGCCUCUCAGGCUCAGAACAGUAUUAAGCAACCAGUCAAUGAAAUAAGAGCACAUAAUUAUUAUGGUGGAUAAUGCAGAUGAGGAAUAAAUGCAUGAGUGCAAUGCAAUGCAUAUGACGGUACCCUCUGGUACCCACUGCGGUGUGUAGCCUGAGCCAUCCAUAUUUAUUUAUCGUCGAUGGCGCUCACUGGGGGUGUGUACAGACUCCGGAGGGGCUCCUACAGCCCAAGCGCAAUAUCAAGCCAUCUCGUGGCAUCAAAUCUAGGCCCUCGACCUCAUAUCAAUAUCAAUAUAAUCACCUAGGCUCUCAGCCUCAAUAUCAAUGUAAUCAACCAGACUCUCGGCCUCAAUAUCAAUGUAAUCAACCAGGAUCUCGGCCUCAAUAUCAAUAUAACACUGCUGCGGCACGCAGCCCGAUCCAUGCUCAGUCCAAAAAUCAUCAUAAGCCCCUUGGGAAUUUGUAAAACAGUAGUUCUCAGCCCGAAAUAUCAUUUAGAAAUAUCAUUUAAGUUUUCAAAUCUUAGAAAGAUGGCUGACUUUGCAAAACAGUAUUUAAAACCUUGGACUGAGGUCAAAUGAUAUGCAAAAUAUGCGAAAGAAGUGAUAUCAAUCCCUGAAGGAUUCAAAUAAUUGGCAAGAAGCCUACAAUUGGAAACAUGAUUGAGGAUAUAAAUUCUUUAAUAAAAUAAGUGAGGAAAACCAGUCAAAAAUCCCUUAAGGUUCUACAGGUCGGCACACGGCCCCAAGCAUGGCAACAAGCCCAAUUCACAAUAAUAAAGUAUACGUCUCAACCAAAAAUAUAGUAAAAUAUCUCUAGGGACGGACCAAGUCACAAUCCCCAACGGUGCUCUACCCCACGCCCGUUAUCCGGCGUGCUAGUCACCUCAAUAUAGCGUUACGAUGUGAAAUUCCGGGGUUUCAAACCCUCAGGACAUCAUUUACAUCAAUUACUCACCUCAAACCGGCUACUUCUUUAGCUCGCGACGCCUUUACCCCUCGAAUUGGCAUCCACGUACGUCGAAUAUGCCCAAAAUCACAACGAAUAUGUCGCA
RNAcentral lists this long non-coding RNA (1595 nucleotides) under Nicotiana tabacum (common tobacco). RNAcentral describes it as "long non-coding RNA (NTAB_LNC017131)". Lineage: Eukaryota; Viridiplantae; Streptophyta; Magnoliopsida; Solanales; Solanaceae. The record is from RNAcentral.